GACGAACGCUGGCGGCGUGCCUAAUACAUGCCAGUAGAACGCUGAAGGAGGAGCUUGCUCUUCUGGAUGAGUUGCGAACGGGUGAGUAACGCGUAGGUAACCUGCCUGGUAGCGGGGGAUAACUAUUGGAAACGAUAGCUAAUACCGCAUAAGAGUAGAUGUUGCAUGACAUUUGCUUAAAAGGUGCAAUUGCAUCACUACCAGAUGGACCUGCGUUGUAUUAGCUAGUUGGUGGGGUAACGGCUCACCAAGGCGACGAUACAUAGCCGACCUGAGAGGGUGAUCGGCCACACUGGGACUGAGACACGGCCCAGACUCCUACGGGAGGCAGCAGUAGGGAAUCUUCGGCAAUGGACGGAAGUCUGACCGAGCAACGCCGCGUGAGUGAAGAAGGUUUUCGGAUCGUAAAGCUCUGUUGUAAGAGAAGAACGAGUGUGAGAGUGGAAAGUUCACACUGUGAUGGUAUCUUACCAGAAAGGGACGGCUAACUACGUG
This 495-nucleotide ribosomal RNA is filed under the name uncultured bacterium. RNAcentral's name for it is "partial 16S ribosomal RNA". It matches the Rfam family "Bacterial small subunit ribosomal RNA", at positions 28 to 507 of the family's 1533-position model. The record is from RNAcentral.